RNAcentral lists this ribosomal RNA (253 nucleotides) under uncultured bacterium. RNAcentral describes it as "partial 16S ribosomal RNA". It matches the Rfam family "Bacterial small subunit ribosomal RNA", at positions 524 to 776 of the family's 1533-position model. The record is from RNAcentral.
UACGUAGGUGGCAAGCGUUGUCCGGAAUUAUUGGGCGUAAAGCGCGCGCAGGCGGUCCUUUAAGUCUGAUGUGAAAGCCCACGGCUCAACCGUGGAGGGUCAUUGGAAACUGGGGGACUUGAGUGCAGGAGAGAAGAGUGGAAUUCCACGUGUAGCGGUGAAAUGCGUAGAGAUGUGGAGGAACACCAGUGGCGAAGGCGGCUCUCUGGGACGGUACUGACGCUGAGACGCGAAAGCGUGGGGAGCGAACAGG